This 267-nucleotide long non-coding RNA is filed under the name Brachypodium distachyon (stiff brome). Its description in RNAcentral is "long non-coding RNA (BDIS_LNC003291)". Lineage: Eukaryota; Viridiplantae; Streptophyta; Magnoliopsida; Poales; Poaceae. The record is from RNAcentral.
UUAUUGACCACGCCGGAGCUAGAUCAACCUGAUCACGAAGGAUCAAUCCUUGCAUGCAACCGAAGAACAAGCAAGAAUUAUAGAUGCAAUCAAGAUAUUGCGAAUAAAGGUGAAGCUUUAUUGAUGGGAUUCUGCAAGCGCGUAGUACAGAAGGUUGAUUUGACACUUGUGCCUAUGGCGAAGAGUAGCGAAUAGCUAAGUCUCAAACUAAACAAAAUCCGAGUCUAAACGAAGACCUAACGGGGGUAUAUAUGGAGGACUAGAGGG